RNAcentral lists this ribosomal RNA (309 nucleotides) under Angiostrongylus malaysiensis. RNAcentral's name for it is "SSU rRNA". It matches the Rfam family "Eukaryotic small subunit ribosomal RNA", at positions 135 to 452 of the family's 1831-position model. The record is from RNAcentral. Lineage: Eukaryota; Metazoa; Nematoda; Chromadorea; Rhabditida; Metastrongylidae.
CCUAUUGGAUAACUGCGGUAAUUCUGGAGCUAAUACAUGCGUAUAAACCCUGACUUUCGAAAGGGUGCAAUUAUUAGAGCAAAUCAAUCAUUUUCGGAUGCAGUUUGCUGACUCUGAAUAACGCAGCAUAUCGGCGGCUUGUUCGCUGAUAAUCCGAAAAAGUGUCUGCCCUAUCAACCUGAUGGUAGUCUAUUAGUCUACCAUGGUUAUUACGGGUAACGGAGAAUAAGGGUUCGACUCCGGAGAGGGAGCCUUAGAAACGGCUACCACAUCCAAGGAAGGCAGCAGGCGCGAAACUUAUCCAAUCUU